Triticum aestivum (bread wheat) is the source of this 808-nucleotide long non-coding RNA. RefSeq lists it as uncharacterized. The record is from RefSeq and is a predicted model, not a curated record. The transcript is spliced from 2 exons. Lineage: Eukaryota; Viridiplantae; Streptophyta; Magnoliopsida; Poales; Poaceae.
AUUUGAGAAAUUCCAUCAAACCCUUGGGGAAAGGAGGAGGCGCCACCACGACUCUGGUUGUUGUAGUAGGGGUGCUGCUGGUUGUUGUUGGAGCCUCCACCGUAGCCACCAUAGCCACCACCUUUACCAUGGACAUAGCCUCCAGGUUGGCCACGGUAGAAGCCACCACCAUAGCUACCAUAGCCGCCAGAUCGGCCGCCCUGACCGUUGUUGUUGCUGCGGUAGCCGCCGCCGCCGCCCUGGCCAGGGUAGCUGCCUAGGAUGGAUCUGCCGCCGCUGUUUUGUCCUUGAGGCCACAGACAAAGCUAUCCUUGCGCUGUUAUUGAUGGCUAUUGUCCUUGCCUUGCUGCCUACAAGAUUGCUUAUCCUGGCGAUGUUUCUGGAGGUGUUCACGAACCACUCUCCACUAAGGAGAGCAAGCACAGAGAGAUGCACCAGAAGGUUGAGAGAGUGGUAGUUCAGCAUACCUGCAACGCCAGUAGUGGUGGAGAAGGAUAACAAAGAAGAUAAGAAGACAAAAUGAAUUUGUGUGUAUAAACUGUGAUUCCGUGUCUAGUUUGGCUGAUGUGGUGAUGGAUCACCAGCGCACCGCUGUGUACAAUGUCUGAGGAUAUGAUAAAUGAACUGCAGUUAGUAUUUCAAUAAGAAUGUUAGCUCCUUUUUGCUCCUUUCUGUGCUCUACCCUGAUAUCUCAAAACUAGUCUAUUUCAUGGGAAUGUAUUAUGCAUGUGCUCUACCCUGAUAUCUCAAAACUAGUCUAUUUCAUGGGAAUGUAUUAUGCAUGUGCAUGUGUUUGAGUUUCAGUGUA